AUUUUGAUCUGAAAUCAGGUAGGAUUACCCGCUGAACUUAAGCAUAUCAAUAAGCGGAGGAAAAGAAACUAACAAGGAUUCCCUCAGUAACGGCGAGUGAAGCGGGAAGAGCUCAAAUUUAAAAUCUGGUUUACUUGUAAAUCCGAGUUGUAGUCUGAAGAAACGUUUUCCAUAAGCACUGAGGCAAAAGUCCCUUGGAACAGGGCAUCAUAGAGGGUGAGAAUCCCGUCCAUGGUCUCAAGUUGUUUAUUUUGUGAUACGUUUUCAAAGAGUCAGGUUGUUUGGGAAUGCAGCCUAAAAUGGGUGGUAAAUUUCAUCUAAAGCUAAAUAUUGGCGAGAGACCGAUAGCGAACAAGUACCGUGAGGGAAAGAUGAAAAGAACUUUGAAAAGAGAGUUAAACAGUACGUGAAAUUGUUGAAAGGGAACCGUUUGAAGCCAGUCUUACUUGCUCGUGAUCAAUUUUUGCUUCGGCAUGAAUGCACUCUCGGGUAUGGUAGGCCAACGACAGUUUAGAAUGCGAGAAAAAAAUAGGGGAAAUGUGGCCUUCGGGUGUUAUAGUCCCUUAUAAAAUAUCGUGUUCUGGACUGAGGAUCGCAGCAAAAAUGUGGGCAGGUGGAUUUCUGUGGUAACUGUCGGUUAGGACAACUUGUUGACCUAGUCUUCCUUAGCCUCACUAUUUACCUUGCUUCUAAUUUGCUUAGGUCGUUGGCAUAAUGGCUUUAAAUGACCCGUCUUGAAACACGGACCAAGGAGUCUAACAUAUAUGCGAGUAUUUGGGUGGCAAACCCAUAUGCGCAAUGAAAGUGAAACUAGGUGCCAAACCUUCACGGGUGGCAGCAUCGGCCGGCUUUGACGUUUUAACUGACGAGUCUGAGCAGAAGCAUACAUGUUGGGACCCGAAAGAUGGUGAACUAUGCCUGAAUAGGGUGAAGCCAGAGGAAACUCUGGUGGAGGCUCGUAGCGAUUCUGACGUGCAAAUCGAUCGUC
RNAcentral lists this ribosomal RNA (988 nucleotides) under uncultured zygomycete. RNAcentral's name for it is "eukaryotic LSU rRNA". It matches the Rfam family "Eukaryotic large subunit ribosomal RNA", at positions 1 to 906 of the family's 3401-position model. The record is from RNAcentral. Lineage: Eukaryota; Fungi.